UUACCGAGUGCGGGUCCUUUGGGCCCAACCUCCCAUCCGUGUCUAUUAUACCCUGUUGCUUCGGCGGGCCCGCCGCUUGUCGGCCGCCGGGGGGGCGCCUUUGCCCCCCGGGCCCGUGCCCGCCGGAGACCCCAACACGAACACUGUCUGAAAGCGUGCAGUCUGAGUUGAUUGAAUGCAAUCAGUUAAAACUUUCAACAAUGGAUCUCUUGGUUCCGGCAUCGAUGAAGAACGCAGCGAAAUGCGAUAACUAAUGUGAAUUGCAGAAUUCAGUGAAUCAUCGAGUCUUUGAACGCACAUUGCGCCCCCUGGUAUUCCGGGGGGCAUGCCUGUCCGAGCGUCAUUGCUGCCCUCAAGCCCGGCUUGUGUGUUGGGUCGCCGUCCCCCUCUCCGGGGGGACGGGCCCGAAAGGCAGCGGCGGCACCGCGUCCGAUCCUCGAGCGUAUGGGGCUUUGUCACAUGCUCUGUAGGAUUGGCCGGCGCCUGCCGACGUUUUCCAACCAUUUUUUCCAGGUUGACCUCGGAUCAGGUAGGGAUACCCGCUGAACUUAAGCAUAUCAAUAAGCGGAGGAAAAGAAACCAACCGGGAUUGCCUCAGUAACGGCGAGUGAAGCGGCAAGAGCUCAAAUUUGAAAGCUGGCUCCUUCGGAGUCCGCAUUGUAAUUUGCAGAGGAUGCUUUGGGUGCGGCCCCCGUCUAAGUGCCCUGGAA
Molecule: ribosomal RNA, 710 nt
Filed under: fungal sp.
Lineage: Eukaryota; Fungi
Description: eukaryotic LSU rRNA
Rfam family: 5.8S ribosomal RNA (bases 190-343)
Source: RNAcentral